GCAGUAGCUCAGUGGCAGAGCCGCCGCUUCGCAUGCGGGGAGACCUGGGUUCGAUUCCCAGCUGC
This 65-nucleotide transfer RNA is filed under the name Toxocara canis (dog roundworm). It matches the Rfam family "tRNA". Rfam says of the family: Transfer RNA (tRNA) molecules are approximately 80 nucleotides in length. Their secondary structure includes four short double-helical elements and three loops (D, anti-codon, and T loops). The record is from Rfam by way of RNAcentral. Lineage: Eukaryota; Metazoa; Nematoda; Chromadorea; Rhabditida; Toxocaridae.